CCAUACCACCCUGAAUGCGCCCGAUCUCGUCUGAUCUCAGACGUUAAGCAGGGUCGGGCCUGGAUAAUACUUGGAUGAGAAGACUGCCUGGGAAUACGGGAG
Otolemur garnettii (small-eared galago) is the source of this 102-nucleotide ribosomal RNA. Lineage: Eukaryota; Metazoa; Chordata; Mammalia; Primates; Galagidae. The record is from Ensembl.